UGUGUUCGUAAUGUUGGAUAUCACGAUGCAUUGAAUAUUAAAAUUUUUUUUUAGAAGGAUAUAUUUUUGCUUAUGUCAUCACGCACAUUUUGACAAUCGUAUAUGAGAGUUCGCGUAGGUGCAAUCGGUCUUUGAAACCUCUUUAAGGUUCGUAGUCGCGAAUAACGAAUAACGAAAAUAGUUCAAAACUAAUAUAAACUGAGUCAUUGCAGUCAGUGCUAUGAAAAUGUGUACGAACCACAACUUGAAAAAUAUUAGUGAACUUUAAGAAGGCGAAAAAUGAAACCGGUUCGCGUACAAUAUUUCCACCUCUUUCAAUUUUAGAUUAAAUUCAGAUGUAAAUAGCACAAGCAGUUACAUAAACAAAAUAAACAGGAAAUAGCAUAAACAAGGAAAUGAAGAAUACUUUUCAGCAUCAUUAGAAGACCCAAAAAGUAUGACGAUUUAUGAAUAUUCUAAACGAUGGCAACUACGUACAAAGACAAAAGAGGAAAGUAAUGAAAAUUAGAUAUAACAGUGUCUUAUGUGCAAGUCAUCAAAUAGUUUUUUCUCGAGAUAGAGAUACCGUGUUUACGAGCCUACAUUUUUUCGUGCUGAUUUACCUAUAACAGAUCCAAAACAAGAAUAAUUAUACACAGACCUAUAUGAUCAACGUAUGUUGUCAAGCAACCUUGUAUAUCGGUGUAACUUUUUGAUAAAUACUUUUAAUUAGCUCGAAUUAUUUCUUUUUUGUAAUACAGAAAGCUAACAGUUUUGCCACAAGUAACAUUGUUGGCAACAUCAAUUUGCUUGUUUGACACUUCUAAAUUUGCACUCCUUCAUUUUUCAUUACAGUUAUAUACUUAGGACACUUUUACUGUAAUAUAUAGUCUGCAUUACUUUCGUUUUUUUUUUUGCAUGUGUACGUUGUAACCUUUGUUUAAAAUAUUUGUUCGAAUGAUGUUACUUUAUUUAUCAGGACACCGAUAAAUAAGAUCAGGCAUAUACUAUAUGCUUAUUCUAGUUACAAGUUUGUGUGUAAAAACCUGACAUGUACCUGUAGAGUCAAAACUAUUGUUAAAGUUUAGGCAGACCUAUGAUAUUGAUAAUCCGGAUAUAUCAAGAUUAUACUUAAUCAGAGGCCCAAAAUUAAACAUUGAAAAUAAUAAACAAUCAAUCCCUAGACUUACCGGAUAUUAUAACCUCACUGUCUUAUUGCAAAAUACAUUAUAUAUCGGAGCCCAAUAUGGCUAUCGAUAUCUUUUAUAAAUUAAAGGCAUCACCGUUUUGAAUAAAGUAAAAUAAAUCAAUCACGUCGUUUUAACAUUUAAUAACAAACGUCUCGCAUUGAUUGUAACAUAGUAGUAAAAAUAACCAAUACCUGAUUCGUAAUACUGCGGGUUCGUCGAUUUUCUGCAACUCGUUUAAAUAUUUUUCCCCUUGAUACUUACAAAAAUAGCAAUGAUCUACCGUAAAAUCUAACCUUUUUAUAUAUAUUCUAUAUCAAAUAGCGGUCAAACAGAAAAAAAAUCGUUAC
This is a long non-coding RNA of Wyeomyia smithii (pitcher-plant mosquito), 1516 nucleotides long. RefSeq lists it as uncharacterized. NCBI's taxonomy places the organism in Eukaryota, Metazoa, Arthropoda, Insecta, Diptera, Culicidae. The record is from RefSeq and is a predicted model, not a curated record. The transcript is spliced from 3 exons.